UCGAUGUCGGCUCAUCACAUCCUGGGGCUGAAGCCGGUCCCAAGGGUAUGGCUGUUCGCCAUUUAAAGUGGUACGCGAGCUGGGUUUAGAACGUCGUGAGACAGUUCGGUCUCUAUCUGCUGUGGGCGUUAGAAAUUUGCGUGGAUCUGACUCUAGUACGAGAGGACCGAGUUGGACAAACCUCUGGUGUAUCUGUUGUUCCGCCAGGAGCAUUGCAGAGUAGCUACGUUUGGAAGGGAUAAGCGCUGAAAG
RNAcentral lists this ribosomal RNA (252 nucleotides) under Octactis speculum. Its description in RNAcentral is "partial Bacterial large subunit ribosomal RNA". It matches the Rfam family "Bacterial large subunit ribosomal RNA", at positions 2526 to 2777 of the family's 2925-position model. Lineage: Eukaryota; Dictyochophyceae; Dictyochales; Dictyochaceae. The record is from RNAcentral.